RNAcentral lists this long non-coding RNA (224 nucleotides) under Elaeis guineensis (African oil palm). Its description in RNAcentral is "long non-coding RNA (EGUI_LNC037465)". Lineage: Eukaryota; Viridiplantae; Streptophyta; Magnoliopsida; Arecales; Arecaceae. The record is from RNAcentral.
GGAUCCAAUCUGAGAUCUGGUUUGGAAUCUGGUUUGGAUGAAUGUCAAGGGUAUUUUCUUUAUUGUUAACAAUUUUUUUUAUUAUCAGAUGAAUAUCGAUAAAAGUUGGAUGACUGGCAAGGGUAUUUUCUUGCCUAAAUAUUAAGCGGGUGUUCAAAAUUUUAUUAAGUUUGCACGGUGUAAGGCUGACAGUGCCAGGAGGAUAAAAUAUCCAUGCAAGAGAU